AGACAGCAGUCGCCGCGGUAAUACGAAGGGUGCAAGCGUUAAUCGGAAUUACUGGGCGUAAAGCGUGCGUAGGCGGUUUGUUAAGUCUGUUGUGAAAUCCCCGGGCUCAACCUGGGAAUGGCAAUGGAUACUGGCAAGCUACAGUGUGUCAGAGGAUGGUGGAAUUCCCGGUGUAGCGGUGAAAUGCGUAGAGAUCGGGAGGAACAUCAGUGGCGAAGGCGGCCAUCUGGGACAACACUGACGCUGAGGCACGAAAGCGUGGGGAGCAAACAGGAUUAGAUACCCCAGUAGUCCCUGUCUCUUAUAC
RNAcentral lists this ribosomal RNA (307 nucleotides) under uncultured bacterium. Its description in RNAcentral is "partial 16S ribosomal RNA". It matches the Rfam family "Bacterial small subunit ribosomal RNA", at positions 506 to 807 of the family's 1533-position model. The record is from RNAcentral.